Molecule: transfer RNA, 72 nt
Filed under: Candidatus Vidania fulgoroideorum
Lineage: Bacteria; Pseudomonadati; Pseudomonadota; Betaproteobacteria
Description: tRNA-His
Rfam family: tRNA
About the family: Transfer RNA (tRNA) molecules are approximately 80 nucleotides in length. Their secondary structure includes four short double-helical elements and three loops (D, anti-codon, and T loops). Further hydrogen bonds mediate the characteristic L-shaped molecular structure. tRNAs have two regions of fundamental functional importance: the anti-codon, which is responsible for specific mRNA codon recognition, and the 3' end, to which the tRNAs corresponding amino acid is attached (by aminoacyl-tRNA synthetases). tRNAs cope with the degeneracy of the genetic code in two manners: having more than one tRNA (with a specific anti-codon) for a particular amino acid; and 'wobble' base-pairing, i.e. permitting non-standard base-pairing at the 3rd anti-codon position.
Source: RNAcentral
AUGGUUGUGAUUUAGUGGUAAAAUUUCGAAUUGUGGAUUCGAAUACCAUAGGUUCGAAUCCUAUCAACCAUC